Molecule: transfer RNA, 72 nt
Filed under: Microbacterium phage PauloDiaboli
Lineage: Duplodnaviria; Heunggongvirae; Uroviricota; Caudoviricetes
Description: tRNA-Trp
Rfam family: tRNA
About the family: Transfer RNA (tRNA) molecules are approximately 80 nucleotides in length. Their secondary structure includes four short double-helical elements and three loops (D, anti-codon, and T loops).
Source: RNAcentral
AGGGUGAAGGUGUUACGGAAGCAUAUCGGUCUCCAAAACCGCUGGCCAGGGUUCGACUCCCUGUCACCCUGC